RNAcentral lists this ribosomal RNA (497 nucleotides) under uncultured bacterium. RNAcentral's name for it is "partial 16S ribosomal RNA". It matches the Rfam family "Bacterial small subunit ribosomal RNA", at positions 28 to 507 of the family's 1533-position model. The record is from RNAcentral.
GAUGAACGCUGGCGGCGUGCCUAAUACAUGCAAGUCGAGCGAACAGACGAGGAGCUUGCUCCUCUGACGUUAGCGGCGGACGGGUGAGUAACACGUGGAUAACCUACCUAUAAGACUGGGAUAACUUCGGGAAACCGGAGCUAAUACCGGAUAAUAUAUUGAACCGCAUGGUUCAAUAGUGAAAGACGGUUUUGCUGUCACUUAUAGAUGGAUCCGCGCCGCAUUAGCUAGUUGGUAAGGUAACGGCUUACCAAGGCAACGAUGCGUAGCCGACCGGAGGGGGGGUUCGGCCACACUGGAACUGAGACACGGUCCAGACUCCUACGGGAGGCAGCAGUAGGGAAUCUUCCGCAAUGGGCGGAAGCUUGACGGAGCAACGCCGCGUGAGUGAUGAAGGUCUUCGGAUCGUAAAACUCUGUUAUUAGUGAAGAACAAAUGUGUAAGUAACUAUGCACGUCUUGACGGUACCUAAUCAGAAAGCCACGGCUAACUACGUG